GACGGAGGAUGCAAGCGUUAUCCGGAAUGAUUGGGCGUAAAGCGUCCGCAGGUGGCAGUUCAAGUCUGCUGUCAAAGACCGGGGCUUAACUUCGGAAAGGCAGUGGAAACUGAACAGCUAGAGUAUGGUAGGGGCAGAGGGAAUUCCUGGUGUAGCGGUGAAAUGCGUAGAGAUCAGGAAGAACACCAGUGGCGAAAGCGGCUACCUGGCCCAUUCUUGACGCUGAGGCGCGAAAGCUAGGGGAGCAAACGGG
RNAcentral lists this ribosomal RNA (253 nucleotides) under uncultured bacterium. Its description in RNAcentral is "partial 16S ribosomal RNA". It matches the Rfam family "Bacterial small subunit ribosomal RNA", at positions 524 to 776 of the family's 1533-position model. The record is from RNAcentral.